Non-coding RNA from Erythranthe guttata (spotted monkey flower), 191 nucleotides. Lineage: Eukaryota; Viridiplantae; Streptophyta; Magnoliopsida; Lamiales; Phrymaceae. The record is from Rfam.
GAGAGAGAGAGAGAGCUUUCUUUGGUCCAACUAGAGGGGGAGUGGGAUUGAAUCUGCUGCCGAAUCAUUCAUACAAAUGCCGAGUAGAUUAACGAGUUUUCUUACUCGGUAACUGAUUGAAUGCUGCGGGAGUCAAGUUGAAUCUUAUAUUUCCUGUUCUUGGACUGAAGGGAGCUCCCUUUUUUAUCACU